AUAAUUAGUGGCAGACGGGUGAGUAAUGCAUAGGAAUCUACCUAGUAGUAUGGGAUAGCCACUAGAAAUGGUGGGUAAUACUGUAUAAUCCCUGCGGGGGAAAGAUUUAUCGCUAUUAGAUGAGCCUAUGUUAGAUUAGCUAGUUGGUAGGGUAAAGGCCUACCAAGGCGAUGAUCUAUAGCUGGUCUGAGAGGAUGAUCAGCCACACUGGAACUGAGAUACGGUCCAGACUCCUACGGGAGGCAGCAGUGGGGAAUAUUGGACAAUGGGCGCAAGCCUGAUCCAGCUAUGCCGCGUGAGUGAGGAAGGCCUUAGGGUUGUAAAACUCUUUCAGUAGGGAAGAUAAUGACGGUACCUACAGAAGAAGUCCCGGCAAACUCCGUGCCAGCAGCCGCGGUAAUACGGAGGGGGCAAGCGUUGUUCGGAAUUAUUGGGCGUAAAGGGCAUGUAGGCGGUUCGGUAAGUUAAAGGUGAAAUGCCAGGGCUUAACCCUGGAGCUGCU
Molecule: ribosomal RNA, 502 nt
Filed under: Anaplasma phagocytophilum
Lineage: Bacteria; Pseudomonadati; Pseudomonadota; Alphaproteobacteria; Rickettsiales; Anaplasmataceae
Description: bacterial SSU rRNA
Rfam family: Bacterial small subunit ribosomal RNA
Source: RNAcentral